This is a long non-coding RNA of Fundulus heteroclitus (mummichog), 765 nucleotides long. RefSeq lists it as uncharacterized. The transcript is spliced from 3 exons. The record is from RefSeq and is a predicted model, not a curated record. NCBI's taxonomy places the organism in Eukaryota, Metazoa, Chordata, Actinopteri, Cyprinodontiformes, Fundulidae.
CCACCAACACUAACUCCAACUACAGCCACAACGACUCUUCCUCCUCCUAUAACUACUGCAUCUGAUCCAGAACAAUAUUACGUUAUUGCUUUAAAUGCAAAGUUCUCGACAACACUGUCACUGGAGGAUGACUAUGCAACCAUCAUACAACUGCUAAAACAAGAACUGAUUAACAACGGGCUGCCACCUGACCUAAUCUUAAGUAUCCAGAGUAACGUGACGCCUGCCUCCCGGUGACCAAACAUCAGAAUGUAACGUAGCCCUGCACAAGGUUUUUCCUGACAUUCUUAUUUACUGUACUUUUUCCUCUCCAAUGUGAAUAUUGUUGGGCAUAUGUUCUUAGUAGGGUCUAUAGGUUGGAGCUAUUGGUAAAAAGAAAUUUCAAAAAAGAAAUUAUGUAAAAUGUAAAUCAGUAGAAGUGCAUAAACCAAAAAAGGUUCACUCAUGUCUUGAGCUUGCUUUAUAUAUAGAUCAAAUGUAUGUAUAGUGUGGAUAACUUUAUUUUAUCUCUGGCUGUUUGAUCAUUAAUGUAAAAUAACUUGUGGAUCCCCUGAUGCCUUGUUAAAGGUUCUGUCCUGUCUCUAAAUAGAAACACAGUAGUUUGAAAGCUUUUUUUGUCAUCUGGCAUUGUUUUCUGUAACUUUUCUAACCUGGAAAAUGUAUACUAUUUCUAUAGAAUUCUUCUCCCUUGAUGUACAAAAGUCAAAGGCAGCUACUUUAUCUUUAUCUUGAUAUACGCUUUUGCAAGUAAGAAAUUAAAGGUCU